Molecule: transfer RNA, 86 nt
Filed under: Chloroflexi bacterium 13_1_20CM_4_66_7
Lineage: Bacteria; Bacillati; Chloroflexota
Also listed under: 2 other names
Description: tRNA-Leu
Rfam family: tRNA
About the family: Transfer RNA (tRNA) molecules are approximately 80 nucleotides in length. Their secondary structure includes four short double-helical elements and three loops (D, anti-codon, and T loops).
Source: RNAcentral
GUCGGCGUGGCGGAACGGCAGACGCGCCAGAUUUAGGAUCUGGUGCCCGAAAGGGCUUGGAGGUUCGAUUCCUCUCGCCGACACCA